RNAcentral lists this ribosomal RNA (1344 nucleotides) under uncultured Clostridiaceae bacterium. Its description in RNAcentral is "bacterial SSU rRNA". It matches the Rfam family "Bacterial small subunit ribosomal RNA", at positions 28 to 1379 of the family's 1533-position model. Lineage: Bacteria; Bacillati; Bacillota; Clostridia; Eubacteriales; Clostridiaceae. The record is from RNAcentral.
GAUAAACGCUGGCGGCACACAUAAGACAUGCAAGUCGGACGAAUAGAAAUCUGGUAUUUAUAUUAGAUGGAAGUUAGUGGCGGACUGGUGAGUAACACGUGAGCAACCUGGCUAUAAGAGAGGAAUAACAUUGAGAAAUCAAUGCUAAAACCGCAUAAGAUAUUAAUAUUGCAUGAUAAAGAUAUCAAAAGAGAAAUCUGCUUAUAGAUGGGCUUGCGUCUGAUUAGCUAGUUGGAGAGGUAACGGCUCACCAAGGCGACGAUCAGUAGCCGGACUGAGAGGUUGAACGGCCACAUUGGGACUGAGAUACGGCCCAGACUCCUACGGGAGGCAGCAGUCGGGAAUAUUGCGCAAUGGAGGGAACUCUGACGCAGUGAUGCCGCGUAUAGGAAGAAGGUUUUAGGAUUGUAAACUAUUUUAGACAGGGAAGAAAGAAAUGACGGUACCUGUAGAAUAAGCCCCGGCAAACUAUGUGCCAGCAGCCGCGGUAAUACAUAGGGGGCAAGCGUUAUCCGGAAUUAUUGGGUGUAAAGGGUGCGUAGACGGGAGAAUAAGUUAGUUGUGAAAGCCUGCUGCUUAACAGCAGAAAUGCAACUAAAACUAUUUUUCUUGAGUAUAAGAGAGGAAAGCGGAAUUUCUAGUGUAGCGGUAAAAUGCGUAGAUAUUAGGAGGAACACCAGUGGCGAAGGCGGCUUUCUGGAUUAAAACUGACGUUGAGGCACGAAAGUGUGGGGAGCAAACAGGAUUAGAUACCCUGGUAGUCCACACUGUAAACGAUGGAUACUAGGUGUAGGGAGUGUUAAAGCUAACUGUGCCGUCGCAAACGCAAUAAGUAUCCCACCUGAGGAGUACGGCCGCAAGGUUGAAACUCAAAGGAAUUGACGGGGGCCCGCACAAGCAGUGGAGUAUGUGGUUUAAUUCGAAGCAACGCGAAGAACCUUACCAGGGCUUGACAUGCAGGUGAAGUAGUAAGAGAUUGCUAUGUCCUUCGGGACACCUGUGCAGGUGGUGCAUGGUUGUCGUCAGCUCGUGUCGUGAGAUGUUUGGUUAAGUCCAGCAACGAGCGCAACCCCUGUAUUUAGUUGCCAGCAGUAAGAUGGGCACUCUAGAUAGACUGCCGUGGAGAACACGGAGGAAGGUGGGGACGACGUCAAAUCAUCAUGCCCUAUAUGUCCUGGGCUACACACGUACUACAAUGGCCGUGACAGAGGGAAGCGAAGCAGUGAUGUGGAGCGGAACCCAAAAAGCGGUCACAGUUCGGAUUGAAGGCUGAAAUUCGCCUUCAUGAAGCCGGAAUUGCUAGUAAUUGCAGGUCAGCAUACUGCAGUGAAUACGUUCCCGGGC